Zonotrichia leucophrys gambelii is the source of this 919-nucleotide long non-coding RNA. RefSeq lists it as uncharacterized. Lineage: Eukaryota; Metazoa; Chordata; Aves; Passeriformes; Passerellidae. The record is from RefSeq and is a predicted model, not a curated record. The transcript is spliced from 4 exons.
CACAAAAUUGUGGCUGAAGUCAAUAAUCAUAUUUCAUGUUCAUUUGAAUGCCUGAUUCUAUUGCUGUUUAGCUUUGCCAGCACAUUUAAUGUUCUUUGGAUGCUUCUCCAGCAAAAUCCUGCCUAUUUUGCAGUUUGCUGCUGUUGGAACAGAACAUCAGUUUGCAGCUGAGUUUCCUCGAAGCCUUUGUGUGGCCUCUGGGUAUCUUUGACUCUUCCAGAAACUUUUGGGAGGACAUAACUUCCCCUUGACUUUCCCAUCAAGGUUCUUCAGCUAAGGACUUAACAUUCAUCAGUCUAAGAGCAUCUCAAAAUAACAGCUAAUUAUCCUACCCAACAUCCUACCAGGCUGUUUUCACGUAAUCCAGCUCUUGAAUCAUCUCCUCCAAUGUGAUUUCUAAGAUGACUCAAGCUCUGACUCCCCUCACUGCACAGACUCACGCUGGAAACAGUGAUCAAGAUGUGGGCUGCAGCAUUUUAUUGGGACUUUGCUUCUGUGAUCUGCUCCUUAUACAAAGAGAGUUACGAAAACACGGGAUGUAACCCUGGAUUUCACUUUUCUGAUUGGAAGCUUUUCAGAGCUUCCCCUUUCAAUGCUUCCAACACCCCUGGGUCAAACCCUGAGUGUGGGACAUGGCCCUGCUGCCGAUCACCAGAUCAAAGAUACUGAACUGCUUAUUGCCAGAAACACAAACUUUAUACGAGUUGUACAUUUCAUGUUUGUACAUUUCAUAGUCGUACAUUUCUCACUCAUAAUAGUACAUUUCUUGCUCAUAUCUUAUUGUAUUUUUUAAUUUGAAAAGUGGUGUCUUUUAUUCCAACAGCCAUGUUGCACCAAAAAAAAAGUAUUUUUCCUUGCUAAAGGAGGAAAAUUCAGACUCAAAAUCCCUUCUGACCCACAAACUGCAGAGUGCUCUUUG